Molecule: transfer RNA, 58 nt
Filed under: Loxodonta africana (African savanna elephant)
Lineage: Eukaryota; Metazoa; Chordata; Mammalia; Proboscidea; Elephantidae
Rfam family: tRNA
About the family: Transfer RNA (tRNA) molecules are approximately 80 nucleotides in length. Their secondary structure includes four short double-helical elements and three loops (D, anti-codon, and T loops). Further hydrogen bonds mediate the characteristic L-shaped molecular structure. tRNAs have two regions of fundamental functional importance: the anti-codon, which is responsible for specific mRNA codon recognition, and the 3' end, to which the tRNAs corresponding amino acid is attached (by aminoacyl-tRNA synthetases). tRNAs cope with the degeneracy of the genetic code in two manners: having more than one tRNA (with a specific anti-codon) for a particular amino acid; and 'wobble' base-pairing, i.e. permitting non-standard base-pairing at the 3rd anti-codon position.
Source: Rfam by way of RNAcentral
GUCAUUCACUGGUAGAGUUCUUGCCUUCCACGCGAGAGACCUGGGUUCGAUUCCCAGC